GACGAACGCUGGCGGCGUGCUUAACACAUGCAAGUCGAACGGAAAGGCCCUGCUUUUGUGGGGUGCUCGAGUGGCGAACGGGUGAGUAACACGUGAGUAACCUGCCCUUGACUUUGGGAUAACUUCAGGAAACUGGGGCUAAUACCGGAUAGGAGCUCCUGCUGCAUGGUGGGGGUUGGAAAGUUUCGGCGGUUGGGGAUGGACUCGCGGCUUAUCAGCUUGUUGGUGGGGUAGUGGCUUACCAAGGCUUUGACGGGUAGCCGGCCUGAGAGGGUGACCGGCCACAUUGGGACUGAGAUACGGCCCAGACUCCUACGGGAAGCAGCAGUGGGGAAUAUUGCACAAUGGGCGGAAGCCUGAUGCAGCAACGCCGCGUGCGGGAUGACGGCCUUCGGGUUGUAAACCGCCUUCGCCUGUGACGAAGCGUGAGUGACGGUAAUGGGUAAAGAAGCACCGGCUAACUACGUG
RNAcentral lists this ribosomal RNA (468 nucleotides) under uncultured bacterium. Its description in RNAcentral is "partial 16S ribosomal RNA". It matches the Rfam family "Bacterial small subunit ribosomal RNA", at positions 28 to 507 of the family's 1533-position model. The record is from RNAcentral.